GACGUAGGGCGCGAGCGUUGUCCGGAUUUAUUGGGCGUAAAGAGCUCGUAGGCGGCUUGUCGCGUCGUCCGUGAAAACCUGUGGCUCAACUGCAGGCUUGCGGUCGAUACGGGCAGGCUGGAGUUCGGUAGGGGAGACUGGAAUUCCUGGUGUAGAGGUGAAAUUCGUAGAUAUUAGGAGGAAUACCGGUGGCGAAGGCGGCCUUCUGGACCAUUCCUGACACUGAGACGCGAAAGCGUGGGUAGCAAACAGG
RNAcentral lists this ribosomal RNA (253 nucleotides) under uncultured bacterium. Its description in RNAcentral is "partial 16S ribosomal RNA". It matches the Rfam family "Bacterial small subunit ribosomal RNA", at positions 524 to 776 of the family's 1533-position model. The record is from RNAcentral.